Molecule: long non-coding RNA, 1200 nt
Filed under: Salvator merianae (Argentine black and white tegu)
Lineage: Eukaryota; Metazoa; Chordata; Lepidosauria; Squamata; Teiidae
Description: lncRNA (ENSSMRG00000011121.1)
Source: RNAcentral
CCUCCAUUCAUUUACCUGAUUUUUAAUUCCUACAGUGCAGAACUCGGUCUACACAGCAACAGCUGGAUAUCAAGGCAGUUUGGAAGAACCAAUACUUGUCACAGUUACCAUAUUUGUCACAGCUGCUCAUUUUCAUUAUGGAGUUUGUGUGGGGAAACAACUGAGCCAACAUUUCAAUAUCCCCAUCUUUUCCUUGAAAAAAGUAGAUUCAGUAAGACAAACUGCACACCAUAUCAAUACUACCCAACAUUUCUGAACUGUGCAAAUGCAGAAUUAGGCAGAACUAAGCAGAACAAGAAACAAAAGGACAGACGUUCAAAGCAAAAAGCUGAUCAUCAAAAGUGUUUGUUUCUCUGGUCACCUGCUUACUGCAUUCCUUUUGCUGUUUUUAAUUUAUUCAAGCAGUUUUUUCUUUAUAACCUAAAAUGAAUACUUUUCUUGAACAGUCUCUCAAAAAUUCCAUCUCCGUUUCUGUGUAACUUGGUGAAAGUUGUUGGAUACCACAAGGUUGUGGCCAACUCUUGUUUGACUGUGUCGGCAAACUCCAAACUCCAUGGACACCACUACACAGUUUUCUUGGCAGAGAUAAAGAAGUGGUUUGCCAUUGCCUACUUCCAAGGAGAGGUUGGGGAUUGGAUAGGCAACCCUCUGCUUUCCAGGCUGACUGCAACUUAUAAAAGCACAUAAUGGCAGUUUUCCUGCUAUCUAAGCUACUUUUGACUUUCCCUCUGAUUUCACUCCCUAAAGAUUACCCUGUUCUCUACACUGUAAGCCAGAGAUGACUAGCCUGUCAUCCUCAGUAGCUGGGCUACAAUGUCCAGCAUUCCUGACCACUGAUUACAUUUGUUGGUAUUGAUGAGAGCAGGAAUCCAAUGUCUAUGGAAUGCUACAGGUUAUUCAUAAAAUGUUUGCUAAGAGGCAAAUUUAAACAAUCCUGAUAUGCUGUGAGCCUAAACUUUCUUUUUUUGUGUGAGUGAAUAUGAGAUAAUUUUUGAAUCUGGUGAAACCUNACCCUGGUCAGAAUGUAUACUGGGCAGUUAUAGCAGACAAAGUUUUUUCUUUCACUCAGGUUGCAUCCAGACAGGGGUCAAAACCCCAUAAUUAUGUCAGAAUAACACAUGACUAGGGUACCCAUGAUAUUAUUCCACACUAAUGACCCAAAUUCCUGGGUUUGGUUGUUGCACUAGAAAAUAAUUGCCA